GUUUAGCUGCCAUAAUUGUUAUUAUUGUUAAGAAAUGCAUUUGAUAUGAUUUGUAUAUUUUAUUUUGUCAAGUAAUUAUUUUUAUUUUGUUAACUGCUCAAGGGAAGCACUUUCUGUUUCAUGUUGCAAGGGGGACACUUUUACGUGUGACACAUGUGAUUUGGUUUAUGGAUGUAUUCUAAAGUUGUUCAAGACGCACAUCCAGCCAUAAGAAAGGCAUAACAUCAUACAAGGACUGAAAGGUGACGUUUGCAAAGGUAAACUCUUUUUGUUUGAAGGAACAUUCUUCUUUUUGAUCAUUUUUGUGUUUGUGACGAAGCGGACUCAUUCCCUCUUUGCGUAAAUGCGGCCAGCGAGUUCGACGGUGGGAUUGUAUGGAGUUAACUGAAGUCAAUAAACCCGUCAGUGCUACAAGAACCAUGGUCUCGUCUAAUUCCUGGAGGGAGUGAUAGUCGAACACGGACCUGCUCGGACUUCUCGUGCCCGCCAGCUCAUCAAGACGGAGUUACAGAUAAGCCACUGCUUAGCGUUAACCCUUUGAUGCAUAACCUGGGUCAAAAUUGACCCAAAUCCAAUGGAAAAUGGGUAUCCCCUCAUGUGGUCUACGCAUCAAAGGGUUACGGACACACACGCUCAUCCGUUUUUCAUGAAGACGUCUAUAAGUCAGACACGGAAGUUUGUGAUCUGAAAAGUGAAACAAGAACUGAAAAACGUAAAGGGACUGUGUAAAGCCUGAUACGUGCAACAGUGUUUUCAAGAUAUAAAGGGGCAUUGAUGCAAUUGAUAUUCUGCAAAAACCGAUUCAUGGUCAUAAGGUUAUUGUAUAAGUAAGAAGAUAAAGGUGUGUCUUGUUGAUUUUGUAAAGUAAGAAAGUAUGUGCACAUUUAAUUAAGUUUCAUUUAGAGGAAAGUUUUGAGUUAAAUAAGGAAAUUGUUUUUCUUUACUAAUAGUUCAAGAUUUGAAAUAAGGAGUAAUUAAUGGGUGAUUGAAAUAUAUGAUUUAAUUUAGUUUGCCAAUUUAAGUAAGUAUUCUGUGUAGGUUUUGUAUUUACCUUUAAGAUAAGGCUCAUUGUGUUGAAAUGUUUAGGAACUAAUUUAAGAUGUGGCAAAAUUGUGAAGAAACCCAGAAUGAAGUAGCUGCUUGUGAGCAAAUUGUAGAGCCAGAGCAGAUAGAUGAGCCUAAGACUGUGCAAGAAGUACAGUCUGAAGAACCUCGUAGGGGUGAAAGAUUUUGCACACUAACUGAAAAGGGAAAAGAACUACAAAAGGAAAAAAUUAGUGGCCUUCUACUCCGCUUUGACAACAUUUCCGAGUGCUGGAAAGCCCUGACUAAGUUGGCUAAAAAGGCUGUAGUAAGACAAGAUCCCAGUAAUCUACUGUAGGAACAUAUCACCACUAUUGAAAGGGAAUUAUCUGAUCUAAAUGUUGCUUAUGAUGAAUACAGAAGGAUUGAUAGCCCAUCUCAUGACAUGUGUCGCAAGCUUGACAACUGUACUUCAGUCACAAGGAUUGUUGUGCAAAACGCUCAGUAUCAAAUCCAAGGAAGAGAGGAGGAGAUGCUUUGGCCCGACGCUGGCUCUGUAUUCGCAUCUUCAACCUCCAGUGUUUCAGUUUCUCAUUGCUCCAUGGUAAACUCUGUUCACUCUAAUGCAUCAUCAAGCAAGAGACAAGAAGCAGCUGCAGAGUAUGCAGCCACACAAGCUGUAUUAAAGAUUGUGACUGAGCAAAAAUGCUACCAAGACAAACUGCAAACACUUGAAGCCGAGGACAGGCUAAUAGUUGUAGAUGCCCGAAGGUUUCAUGUUUUCGUGGCUAACCGAAUCCAAAGAAUUAAGUCCACCUCUGAUCCCAAACAGUGGUAUUUUGUCAACUCAGAUGAUAAUCCAGCAGAUCUUGCUUCAAGAGGUCUAACAGCAGAUCAGCUGGUCAUGUCAAAAUGGUUCAGUGGACCAGAUUUUCUGUGGAAAAGUGAGUUACCCACAAGAGAUGCUAAAGUCGAAGAGGUCGCAGACAACGAUCCAGAACUUCGAAAGGUCCAGGUGCUCAACACCAAGGCAAAGGAAGAAAGGACGUUGCUAGAUCGCUUGUCAAAGUUCUCUGAUUGGAAGAGAGCCAUCAAGGCAAUUGUUUAUCUUAAGCGCCAUGCUCAACGGAUCAAAGGUCUCAAGCAAACAACAAAGAAGACAACAAAUGUUGAAGAAAGACAGGAAGCAGAACUGUUCAUAAUCAAACUGGUCCAAGAGGAGGCGUUCAAGGGUGAAAUUAAAAACAUUAAGGAAUGCAAAGAAGCGCAGCUGAAAGACAAGACGUAAACUGCACCAACUGAGCCCGUUCAUAGAUGAGAAUGGUGUGCUUAGGGUGGGAGGGCGUUUGGGAAGAUCUGGACUUCACCCACAUAUCAAACACCCAGCUAUCCUUCCAAGAUCAAGUCACGUGUCUUCAUUACUCAUUAAACACUACCACGAAAGAGUAUCAUCAAGGAAGAGGACUGACUGUAAAUGAACUGAGGUCUAAAUGCUUUAACCCCGGUCUAAAUGCAGUUCAUCCUGCCUCACUCCAACACAGACCAGUGUCUUCACUCAGACUUUGUGAGAAAAUUAAAACUUGAGGCUUAAUCUUUAAAUUAUUAUCACCAUUGUAGGCAAGUUACGUUUAUUUAUAAAGCAUAUUCAAACCCUGCUUAAGCUGAUAAAAGUGAAAUAAAAAGUUUCACACGCACGCGCACACACGUGCCCUAUCACUGUCAUUAAUCAGCUAACAAACAAACACUAGCAUCAGGAGAGCUACCAGAGAGACUAAUGUUACGUUUCCUCACUUAAAAACAGAACAAACCUAGGGUAAUGUAGUGACUUACCUGCUGUUGAGCUGUCAUCGGCGACUCCAACGUGUUUCCAUUUCAGGUGCUGCAUCAUCAUUGUGGUGCUCCCAUACAUCAUAUCACUUUUGUAAAGCUUGCAUGUUACGCAUGUUUUUUGUUUUUUGAAGCGUGAAAUGCUGCCACACUUUUGAGGAUUUCGGUCUGACUGUUUUCUCCGUGUCGGUCAUGUUUGGUUGAAAUUACUCUGAAUUUACUUUCGCUUUGCCGCCACCUCGCUCUGUUUAACUUGCUCUACAGGUGGAGUUAUUUAAAAAAAAAACAAACAAACAAAAAAAACUUUAUUUCCAUUAGCCAGCAUUGACAAAGCUCUGCAGGUGAAGUAGACGCUCCGCGACAUGGCGAGUGACGCACUAAUCGCGCGACACAACGAAUCGAUAAUGAAAUUCGUUGCCAACGCUUUUAAUAAUCGAUUAUUAUCGAUUUUAUCGAUUCGUUGUUGCAGCCCUAGAUGCAGCAGAGCAGUUGCUUUUCACACCUACAACUGCACAACAUGCAGAAAAUACAGGAGAAGCCCUCAAGAUCCAAAGAUGGCAGAUAUGCCUGAGGACAGGAUGGAAAUGACACCGCCAUUCACAUAUUGUGGUAUCGAUUGUUUUGGUCCAUUCUAUAUAAAAGAAGCAAGGAAAGAUUUGAAAAAAUAUGGUCUCCUCUUCACGUGUAUGUGCUCAAGAGCUGUACAUAUUGAAAUGUUGGAUGAUCUUACAACAGAUGCUUUCAUCAAUGCAUUGCGUGUGUUCAUUGCAAUACGUGGAAAUGUGAGACAGAUGAGGUGUGAUCAAGGCACAAACUUUGUAGGUGCAAAAGGAGAGUUCAUGAAUGCAAUGAAGGAUCUGGAUCAUGAGAAGGUCAAAGAACAUGGCUGUGAGUUUGUAAUGAACACCCCAUCAUCAAGCCAUAUGGGAGGUGUAUGGGAAAGACAAAUCAGAACAAUUCGAAGUGUUCUCACAGCAAUCUUAGAUCACUCUGGCAAAAGACUUGACACUGCGUCGCUUAGAAUGUUUUUGUAUGAAGUGAUGGCUAUUAUAAAUAGCAGACCUUUGACAAUAGAACACUUGCAUGAUCCAACAAGUCUCGAACCACUCACACCAAACCACAUACCAAUGAUGAAAUCCAAGAUUAUUUCUCCACCACCAGGACAGUUUGCGAAUGAAGAUCUGUAUCUGUGCAAAAGAUGGCGUCAAGUUCAGUUCUUAGCAAAUGAAUUCUGGAUGUGAUGGAAGAAAGAAUAUCUUCUCAAUCUUCAGGAAAGACAAAAAUGGCAAAGGGAUAAGAGAAACAUCAAAGUUAAUGACAUUGUCAUACUUCAGGAAGAUGGUGCUCCACGAAACCAGUGGAAGUUGGCAAGAGUAACUGAGGUUUAUCCUAGUGCAGAUGGAAGAGUCAGAAAGGUAAAACUGCUACUGAGUGACUCACUCAGAGACAAUCAAGGAAAACACACAACUAAGCAGAUUUAUUUAGUUAGGCCAGUACAUAAGACAGUCUUACUGCUCGAAGCAGAAUGAGUUUGAAAUGUUUCCUUUAUAAAUUGUGUGUUUUAAUCUAAGAUGUAAUUUGAAAUCAGUAAGUUGUGAUUUGGUGGUAGUUUAGCUGCCAUAAUUGUUAUUAUUGUUAAGAAAUGCAUUUGAUAUGAUUUGCAUAUUUUAUUUUGUCAAGUAAUUAUUUUUAUUUUGUUAACUGCUCAAGGGAAGCACUUUCUGUUUCAUGUUGCAAGGGGGACACUUUUACGUGUGACACAUAUGAUUUGGUUUAUGGAUGUAUUCUAAAGUUGUUCAAGACGCACAUCCAGCCAUAAGAAAGGCAUAACGUCAUACAAGGACUGAAAGGUGACGUUUGCAAAGGUAAACUCUUUUUGUUUGAAGGAACAUUCUUCUUUUUGAUCAUUUUUGUGUUUGUGACGAAGCGGACUCAUUCCCUCUUUGUGUAAAUGCGGCCAGCGAGGUUUGUGUCAAAUGUUUACCUUGUUUACUUACUUUAAGUUUAGUCUCACCGCUAAUAUGCAUUUAUGUAUGUUUUGUAUAAAUUUGUGUAUGUUUGACAGUUCGACAGUGGGUUUGUAUGGAGUUAACUGAUGUCAAUAAACCCGUCAGUGCUACAAGAACCAUGGUCUCGUCUAAUUCCUGGAGGGAGUGAUAACAUGGAAAGCUGAAGUGUGGGAUUUUUACCAGACAUGUUUAUUCAGUGCUGAAUAAGCCUAUUGCUGUCAAUUAAAUCCCUCUGUAUUUGCCAGUAUACUAAAAUUAAUUAACUGGAACUAGUAUCAAUUAGUGUUGCGUGAACAAGCAAUGACUGGUCAGCAAUUAGGACUAUGGUGGAACCUUUAGAGGAAAACCCUAGGAAGGCUCUGUGAUGUGCAUUCAGAAGAAAUAUUACAGCCUUAAAAAUGCCUCCUUCAUAAGCACACAUCAGCAAUGUUAGUGUAAUUACUGUUGUUACCAGAAGGGGAAGACAAACGUUUCAUACUGCCUAUCUAGGUGCAAUUAAAGUUUGUCGUACCUAAAUCUUGCAAUCGCAAGUCAAUGUUGUACUUUUUACUCCCCUACAUUAAUG
Long non-coding RNA from Amphiprion ocellaris (clown anemonefish), 5424 nucleotides. The record is from Ensembl. NCBI's taxonomy places the organism in Eukaryota, Metazoa, Chordata, Actinopteri, Pomacentridae.